Nycticebus coucang (slow loris) is the source of this 624-nucleotide RNA transcript. It is a transcript of the gene named mitochondrial transcription rescue factor 1-like, with no coding region annotated. The record is from RefSeq and is a predicted model, not a curated record. The transcript has a single exon. NCBI's taxonomy places the organism in Eukaryota, Metazoa, Chordata, Mammalia, Primates, Lorisidae.
UCUCCUGAAUAUAUUUUUCCAUUUUCCAUAAGACUGAAAAGUAAUAUAAGCUCUAGAAAUCUACUAAAAAGUCUCUACAAAAAGUAGGAGAUGAAGAGGACUGUGAUACAGAGGAGGGUCAUGACGAAAUGAGCGAGCCGGAAGAGGAGCUUGAAGCUAACCCUGGUCAGCUUUAUGGUCAGAGACUAUAAAGACCUGGAAAAAGUAGUGCUGUCUUUUUGGUUUGAUGUUAUCUUGAAGACAGGACUAGAUAUUGGGAGGAACAACGAGGAAGAUGCAUUCUACAAAGGUGAACUCAGGCUGAAUGGGGAAAAAUUAUGGAAGAAAAGCAGAACGGUGAAAGUGGGAGAUACAUUGGAUCUUCUCAUUGAAGGGGAUAAAGAAGCAGGAAUAGAGACAGUGAUACGAAUUCUCUUGGAAAAAGUGUUUGAAGAGAAGACUGCAAAUGAAAAAGACAGAGUGGUGUUGGGACGCUGCAAGAAGUUAGAGUUGCCUAAGAAGAAUAUGUCUAAAUAAAUGGAUUGAUUUUUAGUGAUAAAAAUGCUUUUUAGUGGUUGGGGAAGGGGCCAAAUUAUAAAGAGGACAUUUUUAUUAAAAUAAAGGUCUCUUACCAUUUGUGGAAAA